This 458-nucleotide ribosomal RNA is filed under the name uncultured bacterium. RNAcentral describes it as "bacterial SSU rRNA". It matches the Rfam family "Bacterial small subunit ribosomal RNA", at positions 68 to 518 of the family's 1533-position model. The record is from RNAcentral.
AGCACGGGAGUAGCAAUACAACUGGUGGCGACCGGCGCACGGUGAGUAACGCGUAUGCAACCUACCUAUCAGAGGGGAAUAACCCGGCGAAAGUCGGACUAAUACCGACAUAAAACAGGGGCACCGCAUGGUGAUAUUUGUUAAAGAGAUUCGCUGAUAGAUGGGCAUGCGUUCCAUUAGGUAGUUGGUGAGGUAACGGCUCACCAAGCCGACGAUGGAUAGGGGAACUGAGAGGUUGGUCCCCCACACUGGUACUGAGACACGGACCAGACUCCUACGGGAGGCAGCAGUGAGGAAUAUUGGUCAAUGGGCGGGAGCCUGAACCAGCCAAGUCCGCGUGAAGGAAGAAGGAUCUAUGGUUCGUAAACUUUCUUUUGCAGGGGAAUAAAGUGCAGGACGUGUCCUGUUUUGUAUGUACCCCGAGAAUAAGGAUCGGCUAACUCCGUGCCAGCCGCCGC